GUACUUUGAGAAAAAAACAAAGCAUAGAUUAGGAAAAACAAUGAAGACGAAUAAUAAAAAUGCCAUACUAUAGAAAGGGAAUUAAAGGGAGGGAGCGAUUAUUAAAGUCUCAAUUGCCCAAUGUAUGCUGCCAGUGGAAUGAGAAAAAAUACAGGAAGAGUGCUUCAACCGGUACUCUCGAAAACAACGCAGAAUAUAUCCCUCUAUUAUUCAGACAUUCUCAGGUUGUCCUAUUGACACCUCAUACCACAACAUACGUUGGGGGGAUAUACUGAUAUGUAAGAAUAAGAAAUCCUUCGGAUAUCCAAAAGACGACCUAGACCAUUUCGAGGAUAGCGAUAAUCCAAAUUAUGUGUAGGGCAUACGGUAGGAUAUCUGGAGAAUAUCCUGAUUUGAAAAAUAAGAUAUUCCCCUUACGGCUCGACA
This is a long non-coding RNA of Anoplophora glabripennis (Asian longhorned beetle), 426 nucleotides long. RefSeq lists it as uncharacterized. The transcript has 3 exons. NCBI's taxonomy places the organism in Eukaryota, Metazoa, Arthropoda, Insecta, Coleoptera, Cerambycidae. The record is from RefSeq and is a predicted model, not a curated record.